GCCUGGCUGACUCAGUUGGUAGAGCAUGGGUCUCUUGAUCUCACUCAGAUUGUGGGUUCAAACCCCAUGUUGGGUA
RNAcentral lists this transfer RNA (76 nucleotides) under Felis catus (domestic cat). It matches the Rfam family "tRNA". From Rfam's summary of the family: Transfer RNA (tRNA) molecules are approximately 80 nucleotides in length. The record is from Rfam by way of RNAcentral. Lineage: Eukaryota; Metazoa; Chordata; Mammalia; Carnivora; Felidae.